RNAcentral lists this ribosomal RNA (485 nucleotides) under uncultured bacterium. RNAcentral describes it as "partial 16S ribosomal RNA". It matches the Rfam family "Bacterial small subunit ribosomal RNA", at positions 30 to 507 of the family's 1533-position model. The record is from RNAcentral.
AUUGAACGCUGGCGGCAGGCUUAACACAUGCAAGUCGAGCGGGGAAAGGUAGCUUGCUACCUGACCUAGCGGCGGACGGGUGAGUAAUGCUUAGGAAUCUGCCUAUUAGUGGGGGACAACAUCUCGAAAGGGAUGCUAAUACCGCAUACGUCCUACGGGAGAAAGCAGGGGACCUUCGGGCCUUGCGCUAAUAGAUGAGCCUAAGUCGGAUUAGCUAGUUGGUGGGGUAAAGGCCUACCAAGGCGACGAUCUGUAGCGGGUCUGAGAGGAUGAUCCGCCAAACUGGGACUGAGACACGGCCCAGACUCCUGCGGGAGGCAGCAGGGGGGAAUAUUGGACAAUGGGGGGAACCCUGAUCCAGCCAUGCCGCGUGGGGGAAGAAGGCCUUUUGGUUGUAAAGCACUUUAAGCGAGGAGGAGGCUACCGAGAUUAAUACUCUUGGAUAGUGGACGUUACUCGCAGAAUAAGCACCGGCUAACUCUGUG